Molecule: long non-coding RNA, 3129 nt
Filed under: Sus scrofa (pig)
Lineage: Eukaryota; Metazoa; Chordata; Mammalia; Artiodactyla; Suidae
Description: lncRNA (ENSSSCG00040062163.1)
Source: RNAcentral
AGUGGGACCCGCGAGAGGGCACCAUGCCGCGCUCCUUCCUGGUGAAGACGCACUCCGGCCACAGGGUCCCCAACUACGGGCAGCUGGAGACGCAGAGAGGUAGGGGCUGCGGGCUCCCUAGCCCCGCCCAGGCCUCAACUCUUGCAGGAGGGGCGAGGCCCCCUCUGAGCGGGGACACCUGCCCCAGGUGGGAGGAGGGAGCUGAGAACUUGGGACUGGAGAAACCAGCGGCUCCUGUUCCGCCUGCAGGGGGCUAGUGGUGCCCCCCAUCCUCCCAGACAAGGCAGCCCCAUCCACGCCCAGCGACCCUCCCCAGCCCCGGGACCUCACCUCCAUCGUCACCCACGCCCUGCCUCCCCCCACGUUCCUGUGUCACGAGGAAGCUCAGGGGGCCUCAGGGCCAGACCCCCUGGAAGUCAGCCAGGCGGGCCCUCGGGCUGGCCGGGCCCCCUGCACACCCCUCAGAGACAGCCUGAACCCCCUCAACCUGCCCACGCGCUGGCCCCCCAUCCUGGGAGCAGACAGGGCCCAGGCUCUAGGCUGCCUGCGGGGCGCCGAGCGGGCCCACUGUGCCCUGGGGGGCUGCCAGUACCACAAGCCCUUCCAUGCGGCCUCCCUGGCCAGGCGCCAGCAGCUGCAUCACCACCUGCAGGCCCAGCGCUGCUUCACCUGCAAGUUCUGUGACAAGGACUACGGCAGCCUGGGCGCCCUCAAGAUGCACAUCCGCACGCACACGCUGCCCUGCCUCUGCGCCAUCUGCGGCAAGGCCUUCUCCAGGCCCUGGCUGCUCCAGGGCCACAUCCGGACCCACACAGGUGAGAAGCCCUACACCUGCCCUCACUGCAGCCGGGCGUUCGCCGACCGCUCCAACCUGCGGGCCCAUCUGCACACGCACUCGGCCACCAAGAGAUACCAGUGCAAGGGCUGCUCCAAGACCUUCUCCCGCGUGGCGCUCCUGGCGCGGCACGAGGAGUCCGGCUGCUGCCCUGGGCCCUGAGCCGCUGCCCUUCCCUGCCCACGGGAGGCCUCUCUAGGGGAAGACUCCUGUCCAGAUGAGAACGGAUAUUCUGUUUACCACCAGCCCCGGGCUUCGGCUCUGUUCCUCCCGGUUUCAGCCUGCUGGGGGCCGGCCCUGGACGCCCCCUCCUCCAGACCAGCGGUUGCCCUCGGGGCCAGCACCUCCCUGGGGUCCACUCACGUGGGCAGAGCUCCCUGGAUGCUCACCUCCACCUGCCUUUGACGGCAUCUGGGCCCGGCUGUGUCAUGUCACCCACGCAGAGGCCUGCCCGAGACACACACAUUAGGCCGUCCUGAAUGGAACGGCUGUGGGGGUGGUUCUGGGGCGCAAAGAGCCCCGCCCUCUGAGGCCGAUCCUUGCCCAGGCCCUGGGGUCGGGGUGGAGGCUGAGGCCCGACCCCUCCCGAGGGAGUGGGACUCCGGACAAUCGGACGCAGAGCAGGGGAAGCCGAGGGGUAAGGGCCUCGAGGGCUGUGCACUCCUGGGACGGGGAGCCCCGGUGAGCAGGGUCUCCCCUCGGAAGGAAGGCGGGACGGGGGGGUGGGGAGGGCACGAGACGGGAGCCGAGGCCACGUGUGUCCCUGGCAGGACUUCACCUCCCCAGAGCCUGUCCCACACCUGCAGCCUCCCCAGUGACCAGCCCGCACACGGGCUCCCUCAGCCGCCCCCCGGGGCUGGAGCAUCCCCCAACCAGCGAGCGACGGACCUCGGACCUGGCCUGAGACACCCGCCUUCCCAAACCAACUCAGACGCCAAGACCCUAUUUCCUUCUCGUAGGUGGCCAUCCCUUGGCCCCUGCUGGGCUGGUCCUGCCUCUUGCCAGCCUGUCUGCGGGCGGACCCUGGAGGGAGGCCUGAGUCUAAGGGAGACUGGCCGAGUCCUCAAUGCUGGGCGGGGACCCCUGCUCCUCUCCACAGGGUCCACCUGGGUCCCCCCACGGAUCCCUCCCCAUCUGUCAGGGGCCAAGGGGCCCUGGGUGGCUGGUUUGAUGACGGCCAUCAGAGGGAGCCUGGGGACAUCCCAGAGGAAAGCUGACCUUGAGAGUGGGCGUCUCUGGACCAAGGGUGACCUUGAUGAAACAGCACUGAGGAGAGUCCUGCUCCAGCCUAGGCCACGCCGAAUGUGACGCUGGAAAGGAGACCCUCCCUGAGGAAGCCACACGUGCGCCCAGCCUCCCCGGAGGGAAGAAGAGCAGACACUGGAGCCUGAGCUGCCGUGUGGGUGUCCUGGGCCGGUGUGACAGGCCCACAGGCCAGAGGCCGUAAACUGUAGAAACCUGCUCUCCCAGGCCUGGAGCCGGGACCGGAGACAGAGGGGCGGCCGCCGGUUCCUCCCCGGGCCAGGAGGGUCUGUCCCCGGCCUCGCCCAGGUCCUGCGUUCGCCGGCUCCUCGGUGUUGUGGGGCUCGUAGAAGCGUCACCCCACCUCUGCCUCCAUCUUCACCAGGCGUCUCCCCGUGGGCGUGUCUGUGUCCAGUUUCCCCUUUUUCUAAGGACACCCGUGGUCCUGGGGGAACACCCACCCCCGUGACCUCACCUCGACCCGCACAAGGACCCGGGUUCCAAGUGAGGCCGCCUUCUCCGGUGCUGGGGGGGUUAGGACUUCGGUAUAUAAGUGGGGACACCACUCACCCUGUAAUGGCCAAGAGGUGCCAGGCGGGCCCCUGUGCUUUGGGCUGGGAACCCCAAGCCACAAAGGAGGGAGCGGGUGGUGAUUUUAGGACAGAUUUGCUACUAACCUCCUCCAAAGGGAGUGAGAGCCCACCCCAGCCCCUCUUGAGUGGCCAGUGCCCCCCCCCACUGUCCUGCUCAGGGACCCCGGGGGGUAAGGAAGGCUCUGGCCUGCGGGGAGAGCCUCCCACAGUCCCCUGAAGUGCCCGGGCCUCGGCUGAGCGGGUGGGCAGCCCAGGGCUAAGCUCCAAAUGUGUGUGUCCGACCAUCUCACUGGGUGGCUUUUUUUUUUUUUUUUUUUUCGUGGCAUCCAGAUGCCAGAAGGAAGCUCUAUUGUAAACUGUGUUCUAUUUCUGAGCCCCAACAUCUAAAAGAAGCGAUGCACCUGUCGGGGAUGGAGGAAGGGAAUUUCACAGGCCUAAAAUAAAGUCCAUGUUUGCCCU